GACGAACGCUGGCGGCGUGCUUAACACAUGCAAGUCGAACGGAAAGGCCCUGCUUUUGUGGGGUGCUCGAGUGGUGAACGGGUGAGUAACACGUGAGUAACCUGCCCUUGACUUUGGGAUAACUUCAGGCAACUGGGGCUAAUACCGGAUAGGAGCUCCUGCUGCAUGGUGGGGGUUGGAAAGUUUCGGCGGUUGGGGAUGGACUCGCGGCUUAUCAGCUUGUUGGUGGGGUAGUGGCUUACCAAGGGUUUGACGGGUAGCCGGCCUGAGAGGGUGACCGGCCACAUUGGGACUGAGAUACGGCCCAGACUCCUACGGGAGGCAGCAGUGGGGAAUAUUGCACAAUGGGCGGAAGCCUGAUGCAGCAACGCCGCGUGCGGGAUGACGGCCUUCGGGUUGUAAACCGCUUUCGCCUGUGACGAAGCGUGAGUGACGGUAAUGGGUAAAGAAGCACCGGCUAACUACGUG
This 468-nucleotide ribosomal RNA is filed under the name uncultured bacterium. RNAcentral's name for it is "partial 16S ribosomal RNA". It matches the Rfam family "Bacterial small subunit ribosomal RNA", at positions 28 to 507 of the family's 1533-position model. The record is from RNAcentral.